This is an RNA transcript of Lathyrus oleraceus (garden pea), 1306 nucleotides long. RefSeq lists it as uncharacterized. NCBI's taxonomy places the organism in Eukaryota, Viridiplantae, Streptophyta, Magnoliopsida, Fabales, Fabaceae. The record is from RefSeq and is a predicted model, not a curated record. The transcript is spliced from 6 exons.
GGGUGUUUGUUUUCCCUCUCGUCUUCUUCUCCAAAACCAAUCAACACCUCGAAAACCAAAACCCUAAUCCUCUUUUUUCUUAUCUUCUGUGUUGCGAAAUCACCGCAAUAUCAUCUGUAGUACUACCACCAUGUCAAGUAACGAAGACGACCUCGAUCUUCUCCUUUCUCUUCAAGACAAAGUUCCCGAAACCCCUCCUGCUUCUCCUUCACCGCUUGAUUUUGAUGGCGAUGACGAUGUUGUACCGCGGAGGGAGAGACCUGAUAUGUCCGUUUUCAAAGAUGCAGUUCAGGAUUGUCUUCUCGACCAACCCCCUAACCCUAACCCUAACCCUAAACCUAAACCAUCCAACAAAUCACUCGGCGACGAUCCCCAACUUGACAAGUUCUCAGGUCUUCGCAUAAGGGAUCAAUGUUUAACACCAGCUGAGCUCAGGGAAUCUGUUCAAGACAUUCGCUUUGUUCGCCUACCGGUCAUCAAGUAAUCUUCUUCACCUCGUUUUCUAUUUAUGGGUUCUUGUGCGAGAGAGUUCUGUUUAUGGAGUAUAGAACGAAUCUCUCCUACUGUUCUUCUAUCUUCUUUUUCUACACUUUCUUGAACGUAGAAAAAAAAGCAGAGAGAUGAUUCAAGGUUGAUGGAGAGCUUCAUUUUCUGGUUGGUGAAGAUCAUGGAAUUCAGUUCAGUGUUAUUUGGAUUGAAGGUUGAAUUCCGUUGUUCUGUUAGGGUGAUGGUGAAGGAGCUCAACAGAGUUGCAGGUUUGAGUUUCGACAGUGAAGAAGAUUGGCUUUGGCCAUUGUUGCUUUGGACGGUGAAGAAGAUUGAAGCAUAUGCAAGAAUCGAAACUCUAUUGAAGAGUAAAAGGUGAAGUUGAAGAUGAACCAAUCUGUUGAAGAUGUAGGAAGCUCCAACCUUCUGCAGAAUGAAGGUUGAUCUGUUAUAUAGAGUAUGGGGAUCGUAACCGAAUCGGGCAUGGAGUCGGUCAGGUUUUUUACACGUUGGGCAGGGUUAGUUAGCCCUUGUUAGAUUGAAAAGAAAUUAGUUAAGACUCUCAAAAAGCUCUUCUAGUUUCCAAUAGAUUAGGUUGCAGAGGGUGCAAAAAGUGCUGGUGCAUCACGGGUUAUUGGCAUAGAUAUUGAUAGCAACAAGUAUGAUACAGAUACAACCCUAUUGCUGGCAUUGGCUGGAAAAUUGGAUGCUGAAUUGAGGGUAAAAGGAGAAAUUACUUACAAUGGACACAAACUUAAUGAAUUUGUGCCAAGAAAAACUUCAGCAUAUAUUAGUCAAAAUGAUGUUCAUGUUGGAGAAA